GCGCAAAGCGCCAGGAACCCCCCCUACUGCCCGCCCCGCGCUGGCGAAGCGCGACCCGUCCCGCCCCGCCCCGCCCUCGGCACAGCGUCAGAGGCGGGGACGCGCGCUGGUCUAUUUUUGGGCAUCCGGAUGGCGACUGCGGGAAAUCGAGUUCUCAUGCUGGGGCGAAAGGACCGUCCGCCCGCUCGGAAGAGGCGAAUCUCCCACGGCAGACGUCUGGGUGUGCGAAUGCCAGUUGAGCGGGGCCUCGAGGACGCGUCACACACAGCGAGGAUUUGAGGAGGGAAGCGCCUUCCAGGAAAAGAAAAUUUGGACAUAGACUCAUACAGAGGAAAGAUGAUGUGAGGACAGACAUCUAAGCCACGGAGCAAGGCCCUUCCCUCACAGCUCUCAGAAGGAACCAAACCUGUUGACAUCUGUUUUUUUUUUUUUGAGAUGGAGUCUAGCUCUGUCGCCCAGGCUGGAGUGCAGUAGCACGAUCUCAGCUCACUGCAGCCUCCGCCUCCCAGGUUCAAGCAAUUCUCCUGCCUCAGCCUCCCGAGUAGCUGGGAUUACAGGCACCCGCCACCACGCCCGGCUAAUUUUUAUAUUUUUAGUAGAGACAGGGUUUCACCACGUUGGCCAGGCUGGUCUCGAACUCCUGACUUCAAGUGAUCUGCUCUCCUUGGCCUCCCAAAGUGCUGGGAUCACAGGCGUGAGCCACUGCACCCGGCCCCUGUUGACAUCUUGAUCUCAGACUUCACCCGGCCCCCGAUGACAUCUUGAUCUCAGACUUCUGGUCUCCAGAAUGGUGGGAAAAUAAAUUGCUGUUUAAUCUACCCAGUCUGUGGUUCUUUAUUAUAGCAGCCCUAGCAAACUAAUACUAAGGCUCUAACCUUUAUCUCCCUCCCCUCUCUUAUUAUUCCCUAAGAGGAAGUCCAAACUGCAAUAGGCAAAGAUUCUUAAUGGACCUUGCAUGCCUUGUUUAGCCUGCUCUCAAAAUGCAGUAAUCUCCUG
Molecule: long non-coding RNA, 996 nt
Filed under: Homo sapiens (human)
Lineage: Eukaryota; Metazoa; Chordata; Mammalia; Primates; Hominidae
Description: HSALNT0152674
Source: RNAcentral